RNAcentral lists this ribosomal RNA (2209 nucleotides) under Escherichia coli. Its description in RNAcentral is "partial 23S ribosomal RNA". It matches the Rfam family "Bacterial large subunit ribosomal RNA", at positions 1 to 2227 of the family's 2925-position model. Lineage: Bacteria; Pseudomonadati; Pseudomonadota; Gammaproteobacteria; Enterobacterales; Enterobacteriaceae. The record is from RNAcentral.
GGGUUGUGAGGUUAAGCGACUAAGCGUACACGGUGGAUGCCCUGGCAGUCAGAGGCGAUGAAGGACGUGCUAAUCUGCGAUAAGCGUCGGUAAGGUGAUAUGAACCGUUAUAACCGGCGAUUUCCGAAUGGGGAAACCCAGUGUGUUUCGACACACUAUCAUUAACUGAAUCCAUAGGUUAAUGAGGCGAACCGGGGGAACUGAAACAUCUAAGUACCCCGAGGAAAAGAAAUCAACCGAGAUUCCCCCAGUAGCGGCGAGCGAACGGGGAGCAGCCCAGAGCCUGAAUCAGUGUGUGUGUUAGUGGAAGCGUCUGGAAAGGCGCGCGAUACAGGGUGACAGCCCCGUACACAAAAAUGCACAUGCUGUGAGCUCGAUGAGUAGGGCGGGACACGUGGUAUCCUGUCUGAAUAUGGGGGGACCAUCCUCCAAGGCUAAAUACUCCUGACUGACCGAUAGUGAACCAGUACCGUGAGGGAAAGGCGAAAAGAACCCCGGCGAGGGGAGUGAAAAAGAACCUGAAACCGUGUACGUACAAGCAGUGGGAGCACGCUUAGGCGUGUGACUGCGUACCUUUUGUAUAAUGGGUCAGCGACUUAUAUUCUGUAGCAAGGUUAACCGAAUAGGGGAGCCGAAGGGAAACCGAGUCUUAACUGGGCGUUAAGUUGCAGGGUAUAGACCCGAAACCCGGUGAUCUAGCCAUGGGCAGGUUGAAGGUUGGGUAACACUAACUGGAGGACCGAACCGACUAAUGUUGAAAAAUUAGCGGAUGACUUGUGGCUGGGGGUGAAAGGCCAAUCAAACCGGGAGAUAGCUGGUUCUCCCCGAAAGCUAUUUAGGUAGCGCCUCGUGAAUUCAUCUCCGGGGGUAGAGCACUGUUUCGGCAAGGGGGUCAUCCCGACUUACCAACCCGAUGCAAACUGCGAAUACCGGAGAAUGUUAUCACGGGAGACACACGGCGGGUGCUAACGUCCGUCGUGAAGAGGGAAACAACCCAGACCGCCAGCUAAGGUCCCAAAGUCAUGGUUAAGUGGGAAACGAUGUGGGAAGGCCCAGACAGCCAGGAUGUUGGCUUAGAAGCAGCCAUCAUUUAAAGAAAGCGUAAUAGCUCACUGGUCGAGUCGGCCUGCGCGGAAGAUGUAACGGGGCUAAACCAUGCACCGAAGCUGCGGCAGCGACACUAUGUGUUGUUGGGUAGGGGAGCGUUCUGUAAGCCUGUGAAGGUGUGCUGUGAGGUAUGCUGGAGGUAUCAGAAGUGCGAAUGCUGACAUAAGUAACGAUAAAGCGGGUGAAAAGCCCGCUCGCCGGAAGACCAAGGGUUCCUGUCCAACGUUAAUCGGGGCAGGGUGAGUCGACCCCUAAGGCGAGGCCGAAAGGCGUAGUCGAUGGGAAACAGGUUAAUAUUCCUGUACUUGGUGUUACUGCGAAGGGGGGACGGAGAAGGCUAUGUUGGCCGGGCGACGGUUGUCCCGGUUUAAGCGUGUAGGCUGGUUUUCCAGGCAAAUCCGGAAAAUCAAGGCUGAGGCGUGAUGACGAGGCACUACGGUGCUGAAGCAACAAAUGCCCUGCUUCCAGGAAAAGCCUCUAAGCAUCAGGUAACAUCAAAUCGUACCCCAAACCGACACAGGUGGUCAGGUAGAGAAUACCAAGGCGCUUGAGAGAACUCGGGUGAAGGAACUAGGCAAAAUGGUGCCGUAACUUCGGGAGAAGGCACGCUGAUAUGUAGGUGAGGUCCCUCGCGGAUGGAGCUGAAAUCAGUCGAAGAUACCAGCUGGCUGCAACUGUUUAUUAAAAACACAGCACUGUGCAAACACGAAAGUGGACGUAUACGGUGUGACGCCUGCCCGGUGCCGGAAGGUUAAUUGAUGGGGUUAGCGCAAGCGAAGCUCUUGAUCGAAGCCCCGGUAAACGGCGGCCGUAACUAUAACGGUCCUAAGGUAGCGAAAUUCCUUGUCGGGUAAGUUCCGACCUGCACGAAUGGCGUAAUGAUGGCCAGGCUGUCUCCACCCGAGACUCAGUGAAAUUGAACUCGCUGUGAAGAUGCAGUGUACCCGCGGCAAGACGGAAAGACCCCGUGAACCUUUACUAUAGCUUGACACUGAACAUUGAGCCUUGAUGUGUAGGAUAGGUGGGAGGCUUUGAAGUGUGGACGCCAGUCUGCAUGGAGCCGACCUUGAAAUACCACCCUUUAAUGUUUGAUGUUCUAACG